UUGUUAAAAUAAUGCUUCAAUUAAAAUAUAAAUACGUAGAAGAUGAUUAAAAAAAAAUAACAAAUUGGUGGUUGUACUAAAAAUUUUUUACAAACUCAUGAUUGUACUUGAAUAUUUAUAUAAAAUCGUUAAAUUUGACUAACGAACAUAACCAAAAAGUCUUAGUAUGUUAACAGAUCCUAUGUGGAUAAUGACAUUUAUAUCUAAGACCGAUGACCAUUGAUGCCUAAUUCCCCUUAUUUUGCCUAUUUCAUCCUCACCAAUUACAAAUAUCAUUAUGCACGUAGGAUAUGUUAGUCUACCAAGAUUUUUUCAUGUUCGUUGGUCAAAUUUAACGAUUUUACAUAAAUGUUCAAAUACAAUAACCACUUUGUAAAUUUUUGCUAGUACAAACACAAAUUUGUUACUUUUUUCGGUUAGAAUCCAAACUUGUAAGCCAGAUGCCAA
Molecule: long non-coding RNA, 447 nt
Filed under: Panax ginseng (ginseng)
Lineage: Eukaryota; Viridiplantae; Streptophyta; Magnoliopsida; Apiales; Araliaceae
Description: long non-coding RNA (PGIN_LNC015824)
Source: RNAcentral